Molecule: long non-coding RNA, 451 nt
Organism: Polypterus senegalus (gray bichir)
Lineage: Eukaryota; Metazoa; Chordata; Cladistia; Polypteriformes; Polypteridae
Exons: 3
Source: RefSeq, a predicted model, not a curated record
CGCCAACGUCCGCAUCCUGAGAAAGAGCGGAUUAGAAGAAAAGCCGGCCGCCGGUCAGACACUGACUGCAAGCAAGACAAAGAGCCACGCCCACCAACUUACAGAGCCCCGCCCGCCAACUCUAAGGCCAUGGGAUAUGCUUAACAGAGCCCCGCCCGCCAACUCUAACCCUCCUCCCGCGUCAUGGGAUACGGACGACAGAGCCCUGCCCUAACCCUCCUCCUGUGUCCACCGUCCCUCUCGAGCUCAGAGAAACCGCCCACUGAGGGCACUUAGCCCCGCCCCUUCUGACAUGUGCACCAUAAGGAAGCCUGGCUGCCUGGAAGGAGUCGUCAUUCUCUCUUGAUAGCGAACCAUCAGUCCGAGCACUCAAGAAACUUUCUAUAGGGUGGUCCAGAUCUAAUUAUGCAAUAUUCAUUAUGCUAUAACUUAUUAAGUUUAUUACAUAGAA